AGAACGAACGCUGGCGGCAGGCUUAACACAUGCAAGUCGAACGGUUGUAGCAAUACAGCAGUGGCGCACGGGUGAGUAACGCGUGGGAACAUUCCUUUCAGUCGGGAAUAACAGCGGGAAACUGCUGCUAAUACCUGAUACUCCCUCCGGGGGAAAGAUUUAUCGCUGAAAGAUUGGCCCGCGUCAGAUUAGCUAGUUGGUGGGGUAAUGGCCUACCAAGGCUCCGAUCUGUAGC
RNAcentral lists this ribosomal RNA (235 nucleotides) under uncultured bacterium. Its description in RNAcentral is "partial small subunit ribosomal RNA". It matches the Rfam family "Bacterial small subunit ribosomal RNA", at positions 26 to 287 of the family's 1533-position model. The record is from RNAcentral.